CCUACGGGAGGCAGCAGUGGGGAAUAUUGCACAAUGGGGGAAACCCUGAUGCAGCGACGCCGCGUGAGUGAAGAAGUACUUCGGUAUGUAAAGCUCUAUCAGCAGGGAAGAAAAUGACGGUACCUGAUUAAGAAGCCCCGGCUAACGACGGGCCAGCAGCCGCGGUAAUACGUAGGGGGCAAGCGUUAUCCGGAUUUACUGGGUGUAAAGGGAGCGUAGACGGGAGGACAAGUCCGGGGUGAAAUGCAGGGGCUUAACCCCAAAACUGCAUUGGAAACUGUGCAGCUAGAGUACAGGAGAGGUAAGUGGAAUUCGUGGUGUAGCGGUGAAAUGCGUAGAUAUUAGGAAGAACACCAGUGGCGAAGGCAGCUUACUGGACUGUAACUGACAUUGAGGCUCGAAAGCGUGGGGAGCAAACAGGAUUAGAUACCCCAGUAGUC
This 440-nucleotide ribosomal RNA is filed under the name uncultured bacterium. RNAcentral describes it as "partial 16S ribosomal RNA". It matches the Rfam family "Bacterial small subunit ribosomal RNA", at positions 338 to 795 of the family's 1533-position model. The record is from RNAcentral.